UAGCACAACAUUGUCUAAAUGCCAAAAUAUAUGGAAUAGACAACAUAAAUCUCAAAAUUCAGCUGAGAUUAUAAAAAACAAUAUUGGCCAAUAUUUUAUAUGUCCCAAUAUAACUAGAUGGAACUCCACUUAUAAUGCUUUAUAAUUAAUCUCAGAAAUUAUUAAGACUAAAUUUGAAAAAUUGGACAAGAUUUGCGAUGGAAUAAAACUACCUAAAUUUUUAUUUGAUGAAUGUGUUUAUUCAUGAAUAUUGUUUACUAAUGAAGCCGGUAGCAAGUUCACUUGAUAUCCUGCAGGGAGAUAAAUAUAUGUUCACAGCUUAUUACUGUGCAACUAUUUCCCAGCUCAUUAUUAAAUUGAAAAAUUUUAAACAAAUGAACCUGAAAUUUUGUUUACCACUCUUUAAUGCCUUAUUUAAAGGAAUCAAAGAUAGAUGAAAAUAUUUUGGCAACUAUGCUUCAUCCCUUUUUUUAAACUAGAUUGGACAUGGUUGCAAAUGGAUGA
This is a long non-coding RNA of Gordionus sp. m RMFG-2023, 504 nucleotides long. RefSeq lists it as uncharacterized. The record is from RefSeq and is a predicted model, not a curated record. The transcript has 3 exons. NCBI's taxonomy places the organism in Eukaryota, Metazoa, Nematomorpha, Gordioida, Chordodea, Parachordodidae.